GAAAUUACGAAGUCCACAUUGGGAGAAAAAGCAUAAAUACGAACCAACCCUCAAGACCCCUGCACGGUAAUCAUCGUGUCACUCAGAUAUCCAUUUCUAUUUAAUUUAGAGAUUCAUCAAACCAAAAAUGAUCUGGUACACUAUUUUUGAAACAUUAUGCGCAUUUGGUAUCAUCAUCGAGUUGGGCAUUAACUCAAUAGCACAGCCAAACAUAGAACAAAAUAACCAUUAUUAUUCAAAUAUUCUUUUAAUAUGAAAUACUUCUUCUUAAAGAAAUAAACUUACCAAAACAAUCGGUACAAAACUAAUUUCGAAUAAACGGGUAGAUGAUGGUGAAUGGUGUAAGUGGACUGACUAUAUAUGCGAACACUAGAAUCAUUGUGAUAGAGGGAUCAAACCUACAAAAGCUAUUUUUUUCUAAAAACGUUGUAAAAAUGACUGUAUUACAUUAAGUCGACUGUUAACUAAGUUGUCUCUGAAAAAGCCAACUUCCAUAGUAUCUGACCGCUAAAAGGAAAUUUCAAGUAAACAAAACCGGUACAAUGAAAAGAAACAAAUUUUGAUUACACCGAAAAGUGUGAUUAGGAUAGAAAAUCUGAUCAUUUUUAAUAUAUUUUUCGAAAAUUUAUGACGACAACCUAAGACAAACAUGAAAAUACAAAAAUAUUUAAGAUAUAAAGCGGAAAAAGAAAAGGAAGUAAAACGCCCUUGAAAGCAAAAAAAUUGAUUUUUAUUCAGUAUUUGACAAGCAAGGCAAUGAAACCCAGCUAAACCAAUAAUCCAUUCG
This is a non-coding RNA of Schizosaccharomyces pombe (fission yeast), 787 nucleotides long. The record is from the annotation of a GenBank genome assembly. NCBI's taxonomy places the organism in Eukaryota, Fungi, Ascomycota, Schizosaccharomycetes, Schizosaccharomycetales, Schizosaccharomycetaceae.